UUUAUGGAGAGUUUGAUCCUGGCUCAGGAUGAACGCUGGCGGCGUGCCUAAUACAUGCAAGUCGAGCGAACAGACAAGGAGCUUGCUCCUUUGACGUUAGCGGCGGACGGGUGAGUAACACGUGGGUAACCUACCUAUAAGACUGGGAUAACUUCGGGAAACCGGAGCUAAUACCGGAUAAUAUUUCGAACCGCAUGGUUCGAUAGUGAAAGAUGGUUUUGCUAUCACUUAUAGAUGGACCCGCGCCGUAUUAGCUAGUUGGUAAGGUAACGGCUUACCAAGGCGACGAUACGUAGCCGACCUGAGAGGGUGAUCGGCCACACUGGAACUGAGACACGGUCCAGACUCCUACGGGAGGCAGCAGUAGGGAAUCUUCCGCAAUGGGCGAAAGCCUGACGGAGCAACGCCGCGUGAGUGAUGAAGGUCUUCGGAUCGUAAAACUCUGUUAUUAGGGAAGAACAUACGUGUAAGUAACUAUGCACGUCUUGACGGUACCUAAUCAGAAAGCCACGGCUAACUACGUGCCAGCAGCCGCGGUAAUACG
Molecule: ribosomal RNA, 544 nt
Filed under: Staphylococcus haemolyticus
Lineage: Bacteria; Bacillati; Bacillota; Bacilli; Caryophanales; Staphylococcaceae
Description: bacterial SSU rRNA
Rfam family: Bacterial small subunit ribosomal RNA
Source: RNAcentral